GGGCGAGUGGCGAAACGGAAUACGCGAGAGUUUUAGGAGCUCUUGCUCGAAAGAGCGUGAGGGUUCGACUCCCUCCUCGCCCA
Molecule: non-coding RNA, 83 nt
Organism: Chloroflexi bacterium 13_1_40CM_68_21
Lineage: Bacteria; Bacillati; Chloroflexota
Source: Rfam